This 496-nucleotide ribosomal RNA is filed under the name uncultured bacterium. RNAcentral describes it as "partial 16S ribosomal RNA". It matches the Rfam family "Bacterial small subunit ribosomal RNA", at positions 28 to 506 of the family's 1533-position model. The record is from RNAcentral.
GAUGAACGCUGGCGGCGUGCCUAAUACAUGCAAGCCGAGCGAACGGACGAGAAGCUUGCUUUUCUGAUGUUAGCGGCGGACGGGUGAGUAACACGUGGAUAACCUACCUAUAAGACUGGGAUAACUUCGGGAAACCGGAGCUAAUACCGGAUAAUAUUUUGAACCGCAUGGUUCAAAAGUGAAAGACGGUCUUGCUGUCACUUAUAGAUGGAUCCGCGCUGCAUUAGCUAGUUGGUAAGGUAACGGCUUACCAAGGCAACGAUGCAUAGCCGACCUGAGAGGGUGAUCGGCCACACUGGAACUGAGACACGGUCCAGACUCCUACGGGAGGCAGCAGUAGGGAAUCUUCCGCAAUGGGCGAAAGCCCGACGGAGCAACGCCGCGUGAGUGAUGAAGGUCUUCGGAUCGUAAAACUCUGUUAUUAGGGAAGAACAUAUGUGUAAGUAACUGUGCACAUCUUGACGGUACCUAAUCAGAAAGCCACGGCUAACUACGU